CUUGAAAAGGUUUUAGGUAUGUGUGUGUCUCCAUUUAUCUUUUUGUUUUUUUUCACAAUUAUCUUUUUCUUCCUAAAGUAAUUGUGAACUCAACCCAUUAUGCAAAAGUGAUACAUCUUCCUUUUCUGCUUUUUUUAAAUAACUCAGCAGCUAUACUUCCUCAUUAAGUUACUUUAGUCCACCACCGAUGAAGAUUGCGGUGGAGUAUGCGCUGAAGUGACUACAAACAAGUUGAGGUUACAAGAAGUGAAAAAGCUCAAGUUUGUUAGGACAUUUCGGGCUUUCAUUGAGUGUAUCUUCCAACUAUUGUUUCAAGACCUCAAUUGUAGAAUGGAUAACAUUCGAACUCAAGGAUGAGCUACAUCUUUUGGGCUUCCAUGAAUUCUUCUUCCUGAUCCAUUGUUUCGAACUUGGAUAUUUUCAGUUAUUUUUUGGUUGAACCUUUUGACAUUUGUAGUAUUUUGGUACAAUGACUUUCAGUUCUAAUGGAUUGUUUGUUA
Molecule: long non-coding RNA, 500 nt
Organism: Capsicum annuum
Lineage: Eukaryota; Viridiplantae; Streptophyta; Magnoliopsida; Solanales; Solanaceae
Exons: 3
Source: RefSeq, a predicted model, not a curated record